Molecule: ribosomal RNA, 660 nt
Filed under: Triticum aestivum (bread wheat)
Lineage: Eukaryota; Viridiplantae; Streptophyta; Magnoliopsida; Poales; Poaceae
Description: partial small subunit ribosomal RNA
Source: RNAcentral
AUGGGCAUCCGGCUCAUCGUGAAGGGGACCCCGCCGCCGCCGCCCAAGAAGGGGAGCCCGGGCGUGCUCUUCGUGUGCAACCACCGCACCGUGCUGGACCCCAUCGAGGUCGCCGUCGCGCUCGGCCGCAAGGUGAGCUGCGUGACCUACAGCAUCUCCAAGUUCUCGGAGCUCAUCUCGCCGAUCAAGGCGGUGGCGCUGACGCGGGAGCGCGACAAGGACGCCGAGAACAUCCGGCGGCUGCUGGAGGAGGGCGACCUGGUGAUCUGCCCCGAGGGCACCACCUGCCGGGAGCCCUACCUGCUGCGCUUCAGCGCGCUCUUCGCCGAGCUCACGGACCGCAUCGUGCCGGUGGCGAUCAACACCAGGGAGCACAUGUUCCACGGCUCCACCGUGCGCGGGUUCAAGCUCAUGGACCCCUACUUCUUCUUCAUGAACCCGCGGCCGGUCUACGAGGUCACCUUCCUCAACAUGCUGCCCAAGGAGCUCACCUGCGGCGGGGGCAAGUCGCCCAUCGAGGUCGCCAACUACAUCCAGAAGACGCUCAGCGACCAGCUCGGCUUCGAGUGCACCACCAUCACCCGCAAGGAGAAGUACGGCAUACUGGCCGGCACCGACGGGCGCGUCCCGUCCAAGAACAAGGACAAGGAGAAGAACUAG